UUAUCUUGAUAUUAUUGAAACCCUAGCCGUCAUUGUGUUUAUCUCUGAACUUUAACAUGGUAUACAGAGCAAGGUUCGAUCCGCCUUGAACUGUUCAUCGUUUCCGCGCUUGUGUUCUCAAAAGUUUGAGAAUGUUUUUUGCUUUGUUUCUUAUGAUCGAUUGAUUGUCUGUGUUGUUGUGCUUCCGCUGCAAAAAGGGAGAUCUUCUGAAGGUCC
Molecule: long non-coding RNA, 216 nt
Filed under: Trifolium pratense (red clover)
Lineage: Eukaryota; Viridiplantae; Streptophyta; Magnoliopsida; Fabales; Fabaceae
Description: long non-coding RNA (TPRA_LNC006847)
Source: RNAcentral